GGAUGCUGGUUUAUUAAAAUAAUGUCAGUGGGCUUAUUAACAACAGGAUCUGUUGGGCCUUCAAGUCAUCAAGCUUUGACAGAGAGGCCCAUGCAUCCAAUGCUGAGAAGACUCAAGGCUGAAAGUGGAAGUGGGAGCUUCCUGUUUGGUGGAAGAUGACUCCAGUGGCUGCAUCAGGAAACAGAGGAGCAUAAGCAGGAAACUGGUGAAGUUACUGCCGUCUUAAUGAGAAGGAACACGAGGCAACGGGAUGUGAAACGAUCUCUGGAGUCACAGAGGGAGCCCACACUGAACUCAGGAGAGAAUGCAGAAAGCUGGGAAUCUUCCUCUUCUGUGCAAAGAGGGGUUUCUCACAAGUAAGCAGACUACUGUUUUUGAUUCUCCAUCAAAGUCAGCCUCCUUAAUUUAAAGCAGGAGGAAGUCAGACUCUGCACCCAGUUAUCUGCAGGCUUUCAA
This 456-nucleotide long non-coding RNA is filed under the name Rhinopithecus bieti (black snub-nosed monkey). Its description in RNAcentral is "lncRNA (ENSRBIG00000046181.1)". The record is from RNAcentral. Lineage: Eukaryota; Metazoa; Chordata; Mammalia; Primates; Cercopithecidae.